This is a long non-coding RNA of Cygnus olor (mute swan), 6442 nucleotides long. RefSeq lists it as uncharacterized. Lineage: Eukaryota; Metazoa; Chordata; Aves; Anseriformes; Anatidae. The transcript is spliced from 8 exons. The record is from RefSeq and is a predicted model, not a curated record.
GGCUCUCCCUUCCAAGCACUGGCCCAGUCUUGCAUCGAACCCCUGUAAACUUUCUGCACCCACAUCAUCUCACAACAAUCUGCUGCCUAUUAUAUGAUGAACCAUCUCCUUUCACUUGCUGUGGACCUGUUUCUGAUUACUUUCCUCUGAUACUCCUAGUUUGUGCGUUGGAUGAGAUGGUUAACAGGCAAUCCCCACCCACCCCUCCAGUCAGCUCGGGAUUUUGUAGACCUCUGUUAAAUUGUCCUGAUCUUUUUUUUUUUUUUUUUUCUAGGCUGAAACUUCCCAACCCAUUUGGUUGUUCCUUAUAUAGAAGCUGUUCCAGACCCGAUAUUGCACUUGUCCUUCUGUGAACCUUUCCCAGCUGUAUUCCUUCUUCUUUGCACUUCUGUAGCUAUGUGGUGACACUAUCCAUGUAACUACCUGGCUGCUUAAAGGGAAUUUAUGUGCACAGUGUGUUGCUGCAGUGACCAGAAUUAGCUGCGUGUUUUGGAGAAGCUGGCCCUUAUUUGCAAAGGCUUUUAUUACAUGAACCUUUUCAGUGAAACUGCAAUUAUUAUGAAUCCUGAAAGAGGACUCUCUGCAGCUUCCAAUUACAAUUCUGGCUGCAUCCAAUUUGAAUGUCAUUUGCUAUUUAGGGAACAUUUGAAAAUGCAUUUUGGGAGGUGUCUUUCAUUUCAUUUAUGGAGGCUAACAUUACUUCUAAUGCUAAAGGAAAUUAAAAAGUGCUUCCUGCUUAGAAUCAAUUAGUUUAAUGAAAAAAAAGUUGGUUGCUAUAUGGUGGCCACAUGGCAGCAUCUCUGUAGAGAGGAAACCAAGGUGGCUGGAUGCAGUGCCAGGGUUGUGUCUGUGCUGCUUUGCAAGUUCAGCUGCACCCAGAACCACUUAUUAUAGCUUUGUUGGAUUCUGAAACAGGAGACACGAGUGCUUGCUGCAAACCAAGCUGGGUCUGCAGUGAGGAACCACCUAGGAAUGGUCAAUAGCUGACACCUGAUGCGAAAGCAGGUACUUUAGUUCAGAUGGGCCAGUUUGGUCAUGUGCCACUUCUUGUCUUCACCUGUUGGGAAUUCAACAACGUGAGGGGGUAAUGAACCAAGAGAAUUUGCUCUGGGGAGCUCUGGUGUCAGGAUCGGGGAAUUUCUGGUUAACCCAGUCACAUGCAUUUCAUUCAGAUCGGGUGCUGACGUGUUGUUUCACCUUUGUUGGAUUAUCCAGACCUCAUGCUGCAGGAUGUAUGUUGGCCGAGGGAAGGAGCUGACCCGGUAUGAAACCUGCUGCUACGUGGUCUGAGCAGACUUGAGCCACCAGCAAGAGUCUGAACUGGGUCAGCACUGUGCACUCCGCAUGAGGAACAGGAUUCACAGUGUCAUCUAACGAUGCCUGAGAGUGCUUUCUUGUGCUUGUGUUUGUAUUCACUCCUUCCUACCUGGAAACAUGCACAAGUAGAUUAAAAAAGCCGCUUAGUGGAGUCUAGCAUUUAGUCAAGUGACUAUUGGCUUUUUUCAAGGGUUCACCAAACUCCACUAAAAAGCAGGUUGUUAUGUGUUAGUCUGGAGCCCUUUCGUUCAGCCUUAGAUGUUUUUUAUUCCCUUUAGGGUAUUUACUGAAAGAACAAGAAGAAAAUAACUCAAGGUGGCACCAUGCAAAAAUUGUAUGUUAAGAAUGAGAGUGUUACAUUUUGGCUUUUCCUGGAACACAAGUGUGAUACCUUGCCCCCUUUUAAGUCAAGUAUCAGUUUAGAAGGAAAGGAAAAAGAAAAGGAAUAAUCCCCUACAUCAAAAUCCCACUAAAAGAAAACAUUUCAAUGCACAUUUUUCCUUCUGUGUUUGGGGGGAGAGGUGGUAAGAGGAGGUUGGGUCAGCAGGACGUGAGGGAAGGCAGCACAUGUGACAGAUGUUAGUCAUGUUGUUGGACACUCAUCCUGCACUCACAUGGCAUCGGUGAGGAUGAGGAGAUGCAGGAAUGUAAACAAAACUGUAAAUAAUUAAUCAUAAUUGAACUCGUUCAUCCAAUAAAGCAUUACCUGAUUAUGCAGCAGAAGUGCUUAUAUUUUUAUUUUUCUAAUUUAAGAUGCAUAUUAUUAAGGAAUAAAGUAAAACAUUUAUUUAAUCUCUGGGAAAUAUUUGUAACUUGGUUUGCAACUCAGAAUCCCAAAAGCUUAUUGUCUGGAAAACUCCAGAAAUAUUUGAAUCUAUUCUUAACUGUACGUCCUGGACCUUUGCCUUGAUUGGGAUGAUGUAUUUAAGCCGAGGGGAGACUAACACAAGCCUGGCCAUGUGUUAUGUACAAUGGAUUUUGCAGGCAGAGAUUUAAUAAGAGAGAUUCAUUAUGUUUUGUUCAAUGGUGCUGUUAUCCAUAUGCUGCUUUUCAAAGCCUGGGUGCUUCCUGAAAGCAUCUCAGCGUACUUUUAGGCUUGCCUGGUGUUUUGAUUUUGCUUGAAAAUGGAGGGCAGAGUUAAGGUUAUUUAUGUUAUUUAACUCUGACCAUAGCAUCUCAUUUGUUUUCCUGACUUGUUUUUUUUCAGCACCACCUCAUUACUGACUCUUCUGGUUUUCAAGAUGAGAGUAUACUGCUUUAUUUAAGGAUAUCUUUUAGUGACUCUGCCGGAAAUGAAGAAGAGGAAGGAUGCGACCUGGAAGAUACGUCCAUAAUGUGGUUCUUCAAAGAGUUCACGACUACCCUGGUACCGUGUGUGGUUUAAAGAGGGAGGAGGGUCUGGAGCAAGGGAGCAAAGCUCACUCCGUUUACACAAAGCAGUGUGACAGUCCCAGCUAACUGCAAGUGUGCCUCUGGGAAUGCAGACAAAGGUGUCACCGUGAUUAAUGGGGCUUUCUUCCCCUGGCUCAGUGUGAACCCAUCUCUCAGUAACGGAUGGAAGGAAUUCAGGGGAAGGAGGUGAAAGAUAACACAGCUUUGACGUGACAGAGAUGAGAAAUUUUGCACUUUGUCAUCGACUAAUGGGAACAAUAGCAGGAAUGAAAGCUGACUGGUUGCUUUUGAAAAGCAGAGGAGAGAAACAACCGACGUGCGAGAUGACAAGAAACAUCUUCCCCUGAAGGCCAAUAUGUGUGUCAUUUGAGCUCGAUGUUCUGGUCAUCUCAGUUAUUUAAGUGGCCUCCAGUCACGAAGAGCUGGAGCAUUGCUGGGGAGCUGCCCGCGUGCUGCGUGAGGACAAAGAUGCUCAGCUGGGAAGACCCUUUUCUUAAGCACGUGCCUGAAUUCGCUGUGGCUCAGACAUGCGCAGCAGCACGGAGACCAGGUGGCCCGGGCCUGGGGUAUCGGAGGGGGCUCCUUGCCCGCCAUGUCCUUGUACACUGGCCUUCAGGAGCUGGGUCAUCCCUUUACACCCAGCAGCUCUCCCUGACCUGCCUGUUGCCCAUGGCAUGCCUCAUCCAGGUAGUCAAGAGCACACGGUCAUCUCCUUACGCUGCUGCCAUGCAUCGCAGAACUGUUCCCUGGGAUUUGCUGCUAGGAUCCCAUGGAGCCUGUGGCACAUUUGCUCCUGAGCUGGCAAUUUGGACUCGUACCUGCAGUGCUGAAGCAUGGGGCUUGCUGUCAGACUCCCCCAGGAAGGGGAAGACGUGUUUGCUGAGAUCGUUGCUGGAGGAAUGAUCCUCGCCAUGGAGCCUUUCCAGGGCACUGCUCUCUGGAAUGCUCCUGGCCCUUGCUCUUCUUGGAAGCUCUGCUGAGACAUCUGUCAGCUCAAGCCCACAGAGGGAGGCCAAGAACUGUAGGUCUUGAAGAGGCCAUUGCACAAUUCCUCCUACUCUCCCAGCCUUGACGGUUUCUCCAGCCAUCCCCUGAGAUCAUUCCACUCUUGAACUGGGAAUGCUGGGAAAGUCAUUUAAAACCAUUACAAGCCGCCGAGAGCCUGCCUGCAGUCCUUGGAGCGUGUGUGAGCCUGCGAGCGUCGUGGCCACUGGGAACACCACAGCAGCAUGCAAAGCGGCGGGACGCAUUCGCUGGGGAAGAAGAAGGUCUUGCGACGAGUGAUGUUCCGGCUCUGAAGUGUUCAGAGUCUGCACAGAGCAAAGGAGACGUUCCCCCAGCCUUGCGGUUGUGCUGCUUUCAUUCUUUUCACUGGGACAGGCUUCCUGAGGAACUACUGGGAGAAAAUCCCCUUGCAACAGGCCGGGGAGCACACCAGGAGCCUAUGAGGUUUCUUGCUGACUUACAGGAAAUCUAAGCUAUGGAAUCAUGGCUGUAUAAUCUGGCCUGGGACCACAGGCUAUGCAGGGAAAGGAGUCUGUGAAUCUUUUCUGAUUGAAGAAUGUCAGGGUGAUGUAUUUUGACUGAAACUGUCAGUUAAAAUGUGAAUUUGGAUGUUUGCAUUUCUGUUCUGCUGAAAAUGUUGAUUAUUUCAGUCUCUCGCCCUUGUUGCAGGAGUGCAGCUCGUGGCAAAGUUCCCUACAAAAUGGCUCUUUUGGCUUAUUUCUAAUCGCACGGCAGUUCAGGGAGAGGAGGACGUGAGCAGAGCCCUCCUCUCUGCUAAUUUCGUUCCACCAGCCUGUCAUCACUUCACAAUUGCACCUUUUUAAAGGUUUUUCUCCCUGCUUUUCUGUGGCUGAGUUCUUCUCCUUAGCUUCUGCCCUGAUUUCUCUUCCCAUCUUUCCCCGCAGUCUGGUGCUGUCACUGGCUGGGAGUCGGGGAAGAUGAGGUAUGUCAAAUGGGGGCAGUGGGGAGGGCAGAGCCUCCGGACUGUGGCUGUCCCCAUGCACAUGCUUGCUCCCCAUCCCUGGCACCCUCCUUGGAGCCAUUCCCACACUCGUGUUCCUUGCUCAAGAGUUGCCAUGGGGUGGAAUGUGCUGAGAGGAGGGACAGAAGCUACGCAUCAGAUUGAGGGAGAGGAGAAAGGAGGGAGAGAGAGCAGGAACACAAAACCACUUCAUCGUAGAAAACACAAAGGGAGGCAAUUUCAAUAAAUGCCAGAUGGUCAAAAUUAACCAGAGACAUGUAGAGCCCUGCAUGUCCAACUGUUUGCUUUGGCAGGCAUUCUUCAGAUUUUCAAACGAGAGUCUCCCAGGCGCCCUUUUCUUCUCCUUGGCCUUCCUCUUCCCCUUUGCUCAUCCUCUGGGCCCCACUUCUUAACCCCACCCUUCUUCUCCUCCCUUGGGUCCGUUUCCAGCCCCUCAUCUCUUGCUGCUGCCCUUGGUUCAUGUUGCACUGCAAAUUGGGUGUAACUUGGGUUACGGUGAGGGGGAACCCGUGCCUGGGAAGCAGUCGUUGUCUUCCACUGAGAAUAAAGGUCCUCGCAGCCUUUAUUUAUUUAUUUAUUUAUUCUUUCAGCCCAAAAGCCAGCAGGAACCCUCGCAGCUCGGCAAGUGGAAGAUCCUGUGCCACUUACCCCGGCAGAGCAGGGGAUGUGGCAGUGCUAAAUUUGGGCCCACAGGAGGACUCAUUCCUCUCGACAAUGCAAUCAGGAGGGCCCUUGUACGCCGCAGACGGAGCGCUCUGUCUAACGGCGGGCUCUUUUGUGCACGCGUGUGCUCUCUGCAUUUGAAACAUUUAUUAUUCUAAAUUGCCUUCUGCACAUUUUACAAUAAUUACGACUAGUGUUUGCCUUGUUAUCUCCACUGUUACUAACAAGAAUGCCAUCAUUAUUCCAGUCAUUAGCAAAAUGGAUGUUGUUGUCCGGAGCUGCCGGCUGUGGGCCUGCUCUCAGAAGGAGUCUCGUGCUCUCCAACCCUGCUUGCUCCAUCUCUCUUGCAGGGGAACAUUGUUGUUCUCAGUAGGUUUGGACCUCAGGGGGCGGAGGGGGGAAUGGAGAUUAUGUGAAGAAGAAUUGGUUUGAGGGAGUGCUGGUGGGUGUCGAGAUUAGCAGCAGUGAGUGCUGGGAAGCUGCUAAUGGCAACAUGCAGCAGGAAUGAGAGAAAAGGCGGCCAUUUCCUGCGCUUCCUCGGCCUUUGGUGUGUCUUAGGCCUGCUCCUGGCGUUACAGUCCAGCAGCUCUCCCUGUAAGCGCAUGGUGCCUGGAUGGGGAGAGAUGCUUUUGCUCAGACAAUGGAUCUUGCAGGUGAGGGAGGAAAGGCUGGAAUUAAGCUGACAGCACUCAGCUGCUGUAAGGUGGGCCCAGCGCUUUGCAGUGCCACUGCCUGUGCAAGGAAGGCAACUCCUGGCACCUGUCUCAUUAGCAGUCGGAUCGCCCAGCAGAUAUUUGGGUUGUGCUGGGUUUCCUCUGACAAAGUCAAAACAGGUUGCGGGGGGUUAAAUUUUUUUAAUGUGAGCACUUCUUCCGUGGGCUCCCUCCCAAGAAUUUGACAACCCUGAAACAUUCAGGAAUUUGUUUGGAUUUUGCCCAUUUCAGGGAAGGAAAGAGGAAGGGGUUUUUAACCAAAAAGAUCCUGUUUGACCUUGAAGCCUUCCAUUAUGUGUUCUAAUUAAAAUGGAGAACUUCAAGUUUCAAAUCUCAUGUACCUUUUUAUGAAACCUGACAAAAAUGUUUA